CCCUGGCUCAGGAUGAACGCAGGCGGCGUGCUUAACACAUGCAAGUCGAACGAUGAUCCGGUGCUUGCACCGGGGAUUAGUGGCGAACGGGUGAGUAACACGUGAGUAACCUGCCCUUAACUCUGGGAUAAGCCUGGGAAACUGGGUCUAAUACCGGAUAUGACUCCUCAUCGCAUGGUGGGGGGUGGAAAGCUUUAUUGUGGUUUUGGAUGGACUCGCGGCCUAUCAGCUUGUUGGUGAGGUAAUGGCUCACCAAGGCGACGACGGGUAGCCGGCCUGAGAGGGUGACCGGCCACACUGGGACUGAGACACGGCCCAGACUCCUACGGGAGGCAGCAGUGGGGAAUAUUGCACAAUGGGCGCAAGCCUGAUGCAGCGACGCCGCGUGAGGGAUGACGGCCUUCGGGUUGUAAACCUCUUUCAGUAGGGAAGAAGCGAAAGUGACGGUACCUGCAGAAGAAGCGCCGGCUAACUA
RNAcentral lists this ribosomal RNA (475 nucleotides) under Micrococcineae bacterium CL4.140. RNAcentral's name for it is "bacterial SSU rRNA". It matches the Rfam family "Bacterial small subunit ribosomal RNA", at positions 17 to 503 of the family's 1533-position model. The record is from RNAcentral. Lineage: Bacteria; Bacillati; Actinomycetota; Actinomycetes; Micrococcales.